RNAcentral lists this ribosomal RNA (438 nucleotides) under uncultured bacterium. RNAcentral's name for it is "partial 16S ribosomal RNA". It matches the Rfam family "Bacterial small subunit ribosomal RNA", at positions 30 to 507 of the family's 1533-position model. The record is from RNAcentral.
AGCGAACGCUGGCGGCAGGCUUAACACAUGCAAGUCGAGCGGGCACUUCGGUGUCAGCGGCAGACGGGUGAGUAACACGUGGGAACGUACCCUUUGGUUCGGAAUAACGCUGGGAAACUAGCGCUAAUACCGGAUACGCCCUUUUGGGGAAAGGCUUGCUGCCGAAGGAUCGGCCCGCGGCUGAUUAGCUAGUUGGUGGGGUAAUGGCUUACCAAGGCGACGAUCAGUAGCUGGUCUGAGAGGAUGAUCGGCGACACUGGGACUGAGAUAGGGCCCAGACUCCAACGGGAGGCAACGGUGGAGAAUAUGGCAAAAUGGGCGGCAGCCUGAUGCAGCAACGCCGGGUGCGGGAUGACGGACGUCGGGUUGGAAACCGCUUUCGCCUGUAACGAAGCGGGAGUGACGGUAAUGGAUAAAGAAGCACCGGCUAACUACGUG